This 253-nucleotide ribosomal RNA is filed under the name uncultured prokaryote. Its description in RNAcentral is "partial 16S ribosomal RNA". It matches the Rfam family "Bacterial small subunit ribosomal RNA", at positions 524 to 776 of the family's 1533-position model. The record is from RNAcentral.
UAUAGAGGUCUCGAGCGUUGUUCGGAUUCAUUGGGCGUAAAGGGUGCGUAGGUGGCGCCGUAAGUCGGGUGUGAAAUUUCGGAGCUUAACUCCGAAACUGCAUUUGAUACUGCGGUGCUUGAGGACUGGAGAGGAGACUGGAAUUUACGGUGUAGCAGUGAAAUGCGUAGAGAUCGUAAGGAAGACCAGUGGCGAAGGCAGGUCUCUGGACAGUUCCUGACGCUGAGGCACGAAGGUCAGGGGAGCAAACGGG